This is a long non-coding RNA of Lontra canadensis (Northern American river otter), 329 nucleotides long. RefSeq lists it as uncharacterized. NCBI's taxonomy places the organism in Eukaryota, Metazoa, Chordata, Mammalia, Carnivora, Mustelidae. The transcript is spliced from 3 exons. The record is from RefSeq and is a predicted model, not a curated record.
AUGCCGUCCGGAAUGAAUGGACCAGCGACACAGUAGUCUUUUCCCAUAAGGAGCACCUGCCAGUCACUCAGGUUGCGAUGAGAGACACAGGCCGACCACAUUCAGAAGCGGCUUAUGCGCUGGGGCCUCUGCUCUGCUCAGGGGACAAUUCAUUUUGGAAUUCCGCUUCCUUCAACACCGAGACCUCGUACCUUCACUUCCCUACGUUCCGUGGGGAGCUCAGCGCUGACGUGUCUUUCUUUUUUAAGACGACAGCGCCUUCUGGGGUGUUUGUAGAGAACCUGGGGAUCACAGACUUCAUCAGGCUAGAGCUGCACGGUGAGUCGCCC